GACGAACGCUGGCGGCGUGCCUAAUACAUGCAAGUUGAGCGAUGAAGAUUGGUGCUUGCACCAAUUUGAAGAGCAGCGAACGGGUGAGUAACGCGUGGGGAAUCUGCCUUUGAGCGGGGGACAACAUUUGGAAACGAAUGCUAAUACCGCAUAACAACUUUAAACAUAAGUUUUAAGUUUGAAAGAUGCAAUUGCAUCACUCAAAGAUGAUCCCGCGUUGUAUUAGCUAGUUGGUGAGGUAAAGGCUCACCAAGGCGAUGAUACAUAGCCGACCUGAGAGGGUGAUUGGCCACAAUGGGACUGAGACACGGCCCAAACUCCUACGGGAGGCAGCAGUAGGGAAUCUUCGGAAAUGGACGGAAGUCUGACCGAGCAACGCCGCGUGGGUGAAGAAGGGUUUCGGAUCGUAAAACUCUGUUGGUAGAGAAGAACGUUGGUGAGAGUGGAAAGCUCAUCAAGUGACGGUAACUACACAGAAAGGGACGGCUAACUACGUG
This 497-nucleotide ribosomal RNA is filed under the name uncultured bacterium. Its description in RNAcentral is "partial 16S ribosomal RNA". It matches the Rfam family "Bacterial small subunit ribosomal RNA", at positions 28 to 507 of the family's 1533-position model. The record is from RNAcentral.